Long non-coding RNA from Felis catus (domestic cat), 3088 nucleotides. RefSeq lists it as uncharacterized. NCBI's taxonomy places the organism in Eukaryota, Metazoa, Chordata, Mammalia, Carnivora, Felidae. The transcript has 7 exons. The record is from RefSeq and is a predicted model, not a curated record.
AGGAGGGGAAAAUCUAUUAAAAAAAAAAAAAAUCAGGAGCAUCUCUCAGAGAAACCCUUUUCAACAAAAUCAAGGACCAGAGAACCUCAGACCGACCCUAACGUUCCUGCUGUGAGGCCCGCGGGCUAUGGAAUCACGCACGUCACCUGGCCCCAGCAGGGCGGCCAGCUGAGGGGGUUCUUUUUAUUUUAUUUUCCUUUAUUUUUUGAAGUUAAGGCUGAAUCUCGGCUUCAGUGCUUUUGCCAACGUCUCCACUGACAGGAACCAGCAAACUUCAGGACUCAAAUGAGCGUCUUAAUUUAUUGAUGCAAAACAGGUCUGAUUGUCGCCCCCAAUUCUCGGCGCGCUCGGUCCCCCACGCCCCCAGCUUCGGUCCCUCCAUUUGAUCUCAGGGUCAAAAGUGGAUCAUUGAGGCAGUUGACAAAUAAUUAAGACGUGGUACUUAAGGAAAGAAAUCAUAAGGAGGAAAUGGACCGGACUAGUACAAGUAUGAUUUGCUUAUGCCGCCAAGUGUGAAGUUGCACUUGAGAAUAAAUGAUCUCCUCACCUGCUAACACCACACAAGAGCUGAAGAAGGAAAACAAAGAAGGAGAAUCAGAGAAGACUAUCGGGAGGAAUUCAGAACAUCUUCACCUGGAUUUUCAUCGGUACUCGUCAUCUCUUUCCUGGAACGCUGUGCCCACCUCCCGACUGGCUUUCCUGUUUCCAGUCUUUCCUCCCUCGUAUCUAUUCUCCAUCACCGGUAUGAGUCAUUGAUCUACAACAACAUCUAUCUGACUGUGUCACCACUGUCAGCAGUUCCCAAUGACAUGACUGUGGUAUUCCUCAAACUCAGCGAACCUCAAAGAUGGACCCCUGAGGAUUCAAGGAGCUAAUACUUAUUGACUGCGUACUGUUUGCCAGACUCUGACUCCAUGCUUUACCUAUCUUGUUUCAUUAAACCCUGAAAGCAUCUUGUGAGAAUGGACAGUCUUGCUCCUUUUGUAUUUUUCCUGGGCUCAGAACAUGCUUGUGCUGGAGUGAAUAAAGGCAUGGGGUGACUUGUGAGGACAAGGAGUGCUGGGAAUCAGCAUUUCUGUGUAAUCCCUUCCAUUGUGCCAGACACUGUUGUAGCACCAACAUGUCUUAUCUUAUUCAAUUUUCACAAGAAUAGUAAGAACAAGGUGUUAAUUUUGCGGAAGAAGAAACAGACCAGAGACAAUCUCUUGUCACCCACCUGAGCAGAGCUUGACUUCAGACCCAACCCUCUCUGAAUCCAGGACCUGUGUUAAUUUCAUGACAAUGUGCCACAAGAGAGAAAAAAAAAAAGACAUGAGAAGGACCAUUACUACUCUUUUUCUUGUUACUGGGACUACCUCCACGUAUUGGAUGCCUGCUGGUGCCAUACACCAUGACAGCUAAAUUUUGGAUACCAUCAAAUCUAAUCACUUUAAGAAUCUAGUGAUUCAGAUGUUAUUAUUAUUUCAGAGAAUGAAACAGUCACUGAGAAGUUAAGUAACUGCCCAAGAACAAACAGCAAGUAAACCAUGAGCUCAAAACUGGGUUGGCUUCAUUGCAAAGUGUGGGUACUUCUGUCAAUGUAGGAAAACGCAUUUAAGAUCUGGAAGUUUCACCUGGAAACCUGAGAGUUGUGAGAUAAGUCAGGAAAUCAGGCAACCAGACUGCUCAAUAAUUUUUCCAGAUAAUUUUUCGAAGUACUUUUGUUUUCUUAUUUGCUUCCAGUCAUGAUUUUGGUGGUGUAGAUAUUCCACUAAAUCUACGUAUUAUGAAAAAGUACUCCGUGAUCCUAAAAAAGAAUGUUCUGCUUAUUGGCUUAUUCCCCAUUAUGUUUUAAAGCAUCUUACCUAUAUAAUACAUGUAAAAUAUACUACAUCUGAUCAAACCAUUUUUUUUUUUUAGAUUAUAGUAGUAAUUUGGCUCUUCUUGCUUUUAACAAUUUGAGCAUUCAUUCAAUAUUUAUUCCACAUAGCCAUUUUUUUCUUUUACUGUGUAAAUCCUACCUGGAGAUCUAUGAAAUACUGGUAAGAGUCUAUGGUAAAGACAAAUAAGGAAUAUUAUAACUAGCAUAGAAGAUUUUAAAACUAUACUCUGAUUUUAUACUAAUUUGUAGUCUCUGAUUUAAGAGGAUCUAUCCUAGAUCACUACUAAGCUAUUAAAUGUCGGGAACCCUCUGCAUGGCAGUAUUUUGGGGCCAGGUGUAAGUGGAAAAGAAGAGGCCUCAGAUGACUUUAAAUAAUUUUAAUCAAUAUGUCUUCUCAUUCCCGGUAUCCUAUUUUGAUGUUUCACUCAUUCUUCUUGUACCAUGCUCUUCAUUGCUCUUCAUGCCUUUGUCAAGGAUUUUUUUUUUUUUAAACGGAGACCUAGGUUACCAUUUGGCAUAUGUCUCCCUUGUCAGUGACAUCUUGAAAAUUAAAAAAAAAUAAUACCUCCCUCACAUGCAUCCAUUCAGGUUGGCUGCCUGUAACCGACUGCGCCAUGCUUCAAAAUGUGUCACCUUAUUAAAUUCUGCAAAUUGUUCUGAACAUUGUCUCUAUAAAUGUUUUGGAAGGGCUUUACUGUCAGGUCAGCUUUCUAAGGGCUAGAAAUAUGUCAAACCUGGCAGCCUUACCUUUAUUUAAGAGCCAAAAUACAAAUAAGUAGAUUACAAAGCAAUCAAUCAAUACGGCAUUGCAGGAUGUUAUGGUUGGCAUUGACCUCGGAGUUCGGCACCCUCAUUUUACAGAUGAAUAAACUCAUCCAUAAGCUCUGCAGGAGAUGGGGUUCGGCCUUGAUUCAGUUACAACUAGCUAACCUUGGACAUGCUGCUGUGCCUCAGUUUCCUCAUGUGACAGGGAGGAGCUUUCCUUUUGUUAGGUAAUCCCUCAGGCAUUUUCCUACUUCCAGUUUCUGUGUGUCACGACAAAAUGGAUUGUAUUGAUGCAUUUCUAGUCCUUAAAAAAGUUUCUUAACUCACACAGAAUAACUCUUCUAAUCUUUUAUGGGGCCUCCUUAUAUAUUCUCUAAAAGUUGGACACAUGAGCAAUUUACAGUUAUUGGGAAAAACGUAACUUUUAUUCACUGUCAAAAGAAUAAACAGACGAAGAUCUUU